UCUCCCGGCCAUCGGGCUUUGUGUAGUCGCGGCUGGGGCUGAAAUUUUGAGUCUAUGGAUAAGGAUCCGGGUACAUGAGGCCGAAGAGGACUCCCAAACCUGCCCUGCGCUGGAGGCGGCCGGGAGAGGUGCGAGGGCAGGCCGUCUUCUCCCCGCGACCACGAAGCCAUGGUGGGGACCCUUGGAAGAACUUGGUUCUUUUAAAUGCUAAAUAGUGGUCUGAGAAGUUUGAACUCAUUCUUCCAACUCUACACACCUUAGCUACUCCCAGUAACUGUUUCUGCUGCUAAAUUGACGCUGGAAUAUAGAAAUCUAAGAGAAAGAACUUUGAAAACUCCUGGAAGUUACAAAUACCUGUGUGCUGRUGUUCAGUAAGUCAUUUAUCAAGCUCCACCCCUAAGCCAGUCACCUCAAGGUUUCUUUUUCACAAUGCAACCCACCAAUCAUGCAAGCAUCAUCUGAGUCCAUGGGAUAUGAGGACAAAAGAAACUGAUGAAAAUAUGCAGACGCUUAUGCUGUUUGUUAUGCUGUAAAUAAUAAAGUACUUGGUCUCUGACCCAGGAUUCUAGUGACUUCUGCCAACAACCAUGAAUCUACAGCAGUUUAACUUAUUAACUUGCAAGAAGGAUGAAAUUUUAAAUGCUUCAAAGUUCAUUACAGUAUAUAACAUCAAAGCCUUAUUAGCAAGGAGAAAUUUUCCUCUAUAACAUGACCCCACAGAUAAUUGAUAUUCAAUUUUGUGUGAAUCCUAGAUUCUUAUUUUAGA
Molecule: long non-coding RNA, 766 nt
Organism: Urocitellus parryii (Arctic ground squirrel)
Lineage: Eukaryota; Metazoa; Chordata; Mammalia; Rodentia; Sciuridae
Source: RefSeq, a predicted model, not a curated record